GUAGGGAAUAUUGGGCAAUGGAUGCAAGUCUGACCCAGCCAUCCCGCGUGCCGGAAGAAGGCCCUCAGGGUUGUAAACGGCUUUUGACGGUGAAGAAUCGACCGGAUGCGUCCUGUUUUGACGGUAGCCGUUGAAUAAGCACCGGCUAACUCCGUGCCAGCAGCCGCGGUAAUACGGAGGGUGCGAGCGUUGUCCGGAUUUAUUGGGUUUAAAGGGUACGUAGGCUGGCAGGUCAGUCAGUGGUGAAAAGCUGUCGCUUAACGAUAGUCUUGCCGCAGAUACUUCCUUUCUUGGAUGAGGAGGAGGCCACUGGAACGGAUAGUGUAGCGGUGAAAUGCAUAGAUAUCAUCCAGAACACCGAUUGCGAAGGCAGGUGGCUGUACCUUAAUCGGCGCUGAUGCACGAAAGCAUGGGGAGCAAACAGGAUUAGAUACCCGGGUAGUCC
This 445-nucleotide ribosomal RNA is filed under the name uncultured bacterium. Its description in RNAcentral is "partial 16S ribosomal RNA". It matches the Rfam family "Bacterial small subunit ribosomal RNA", at positions 354 to 796 of the family's 1533-position model. The record is from RNAcentral.